AUUGAACGCUGGCGGCACGCUUAACACAUGCAAGUCGAGCGGUAGCAUGAGUAGUAGCAAUACUACUUGAUGACGAGCGGCGGACGGGUGAGUAACACGUAGGAACUUGCCCAAUAGAGGGGGACAACUAAGGGAAACUUUAGCUAAUACCGCAUAUACUCGAGAGAGGAAAGCUGCCGCAAGGUGGCGCUAUUGGAGAGUCCUGCGUCUGAUUAGCUAGUUGGUGAGGUAAAGGCUCACCAAGGCGAUGAUCAGUAACUGGUCUGAGAGGACGACCAGUCACACUGGGCCUGAGACACGGCCCAGACUCCUACGGGAGGCAGCAGUGGGGAAUCUUGGACAAUGGGGGCAACCCUGAUCCAGCGAUGCCGCGUGAGUGAAGAAGGCCUUCUGGUCGUAAAGCUCUUUAGGUUGGGAGGAAGGUUGGUAUUUUAAGAGAUAACCAAUUUGACUGUACCGACAGAAUAAGCACCGGCAAACUCUGUGCCAGCAGCCGCGGUAA
RNAcentral lists this ribosomal RNA (502 nucleotides) under uncultured bacterium. RNAcentral describes it as "partial 16S ribosomal RNA". It matches the Rfam family "Bacterial small subunit ribosomal RNA", at positions 30 to 523 of the family's 1533-position model. The record is from RNAcentral.